RNAcentral lists this transfer RNA (76 nucleotides) under Choanephora cucurbitarum. RNAcentral describes it as "Choanephora infundibulifera f. cucurbitarum tRNA". It matches the Rfam family "tRNA". Rfam says of the family: Transfer RNA (tRNA) molecules are approximately 80 nucleotides in length. Their secondary structure includes four short double-helical elements and three loops (D, anti-codon, and T loops). Further hydrogen bonds mediate the characteristic L-shaped molecular structure. tRNAs have two regions of fundamental functional importance: the anti-codon, which is responsible for specific mRNA codon recognition, and the 3' end, to which the tRNAs corresponding amino acid is attached (by aminoacyl-tRNA synthetases). tRNAs cope with the degeneracy of the genetic code in two manners: having more than one tRNA (with a specific anti-codon) for a particular amino acid; and 'wobble' base-pairing, i.e. permitting non-standard base-pairing at the 3rd anti-codon position. The record is from Rfam by way of RNAcentral. Lineage: Eukaryota; Fungi; Mucoromycota; Mucoromycetes; Mucorales; Choanephoraceae.
UUAGCUCAGUUGGUAGAGCGGAAGACUGUAGUUUGCUGUAAUCUUUAGGUCACUUGUUCGAAUCAGGUAGGCCGGA